RNAcentral lists this transfer RNA (76 nucleotides) under Desulfobacterales bacterium. RNAcentral's name for it is "tRNA-His". It matches the Rfam family "tRNA". From Rfam's summary of the family: Transfer RNA (tRNA) molecules are approximately 80 nucleotides in length. Lineage: Bacteria; Pseudomonadati; Thermodesulfobacteriota; Desulfobacteria; Desulfobacterales. The record is from RNAcentral.
GUGAGAGUAGCUCAGUUGGCAGAGCACCAGGUUGUGGCCCUGGUGGCCGUGGGUUCAAGUCCCAUCUCUCACCCCA